RNAcentral lists this ribosomal RNA (469 nucleotides) under uncultured bacterium. RNAcentral describes it as "bacterial SSU rRNA". It matches the Rfam family "Bacterial small subunit ribosomal RNA", at positions 355 to 825 of the family's 1533-position model. The record is from RNAcentral.
UCGAGAAUCUUCGGCAAUGGGCGCAAGCCUGACCGAGCGACGCCGCGUGUGGGAUGAAGGCCUUCGGGUUGUAAACCACUGUCAGAGGGGAUGAAAUGCAGGUGGGUUCUCCCAUCUGUUUGACAUAGCCUCAGAGGAAGGACGGGCUAAGUUCGUGCCAGCAGCCGCGGUAAGACGAACCGUCCAAACGUUAUUCGGAAUUACUGGGCUUAAAGGGUGCGUAGGCGGCGCGGAAAGUUGGGUGUGAAAUCCCUCGGCUCAACCGAGGAACUGCGCCCAAUACUACCGUGCUUGAGGGAGAUAGAGGUGAGCGGAACUUAGGGUGGAGCGGUGAAAUGCGUUGAUAUCCUAAGGAACACCGGUGGCGAAAGCGGCUCACUGGAUCUCUUCUGACGCUGAGGCACGAAAGCUAGGGUAGCGAACGGGAUUAGAUACCCCGGUAGUCCCUGAGCGGGCUGGCAAGGCGCAU